UUAAACCACAUUGGAGCCCUUCCAAUCUUGUCUGACUUUGGAAGCUAAGCAAGUUUGGGCCUGAUCUGGUACUUGGAUUGUAGACUACCAGAUAAUACAGGGAAC
Molecule: ribosomal RNA, 105 nt
Filed under: Pogona vitticeps (central bearded dragon)
Lineage: Eukaryota; Metazoa; Chordata; Lepidosauria; Squamata; Agamidae
Source: RNAcentral